RNA transcript from Quercus robur (English oak), 3809 nucleotides. It is a transcript of the gene named CRM-domain containing factor CFM2, chloroplastic, with no coding region annotated. Lineage: Eukaryota; Viridiplantae; Streptophyta; Magnoliopsida; Fagales; Fagaceae. The record is from RefSeq and is a predicted model, not a curated record. The transcript is spliced from 14 exons.
CUCAUCUUCAUCCUCUACACUACUCCCUCUCUCUCUCUCUCUCUCUCUCUCUCUCUCUGAUUCUAAUUAUCAUAUCUAUCCGUAUUCUUCAUGUUGCUUCCUUUAACACACAUUCACAUUCACCCUUCCUCACUCCCUUCAAACCCCCUCACUGUCACUGACCAAUCACCCUUCCCCUUCACCUUCUUCCCCUCACAGCCACCACUCCCCAAAACCCGUUUCCUCAUUCGGACCUCCACCUCAGAUACCCAUACCCUCCCAAAUUCCGCUAUCCAACGCAUUGCCCACAAGCUCCGCUCUCUCGGAUUCGCCGAAGACCCCCAAAACCCGAACCCGAAGCCGAGCCCAAAUGCCGGAGAAAUCUUCAUCCCUCUGCCCCACCAAUUACCCAAACACCGGGUCGGGCACACUCUCGAUUCGAGCUGGUCCACUCCCGAGAACCCGGUUCCGGUUCCGGGCACGGGUUCCGCCAUAACCAAAUACCACCAGCUGAGGCGCGAGGUGAUUAAGCAGAAGGUGAUGCAUAAGAAGGAGAAGAUAGAGGAGAAGAAAGCUCCGACAUUGGCGGAGCUGAGCUUGAGCGAGGCGGAGCUGAGGAGGCUGAGGAGGCUUGGGAUUGAGACGAGGAAGAAGCUAAAAGUAGGGAAGGCGGGGAUUACUGAAGGGAUUGUUAAUGGUAUUCAUGAGCGGUGGAGGCGCUAUGAGGUCGUGAAAAUCGAGUGCGAGGAUCUGUGUAGGAUGAACAUGAAGAGGACUCAUGAAUUAUUGGAGAGGAAAACUGGAGGUCUGGUUGUUUGGAGGUCUGGAAGUAAGAUUGUCUUGUAUAGGGGGGCCAAUUAUAAGUACCCUUACUUUUUGUCUGAUAAAAUUUUGACAAAUGACACCAUGAUUGAUGAUAUACUGGAUCCACACAUUGAUGAUGGUGAACAAAAUGAAACGGAGAGCUGCUCAUCCAGCAUAAUUGGUGUAAAAGCUGCUGCAACAAGUCCAAGCAAAGAAAUAUCUCAACCAAAAUUAAUCCAAGGUGUUGGUAUGCCAAACAGAGUACGAUUUCAAUUGCCAGGCGAGGCAGAGCUUGCAGAAGAAGCAGAUCGCUUAUUAGAGGGGUUGGGCCCACGAUUUACUGAUUGGUGGGGUUAUGACCCUCUCCCUGUUGAUGCUGAUCUUCUGCCUGCCAUUGUUCCUGGAUACCGGAAGCCUUUCCGCCUUCUUCCCUAUGGUGUGAAGUCUGUAUUAACAAAUGAUGAAAUGACUACAUUAAAAAGACUUGGUCGACCCUUGCCAUGCCAUUUUGCAUUAGGCAGAAAUAGGAAUCUUCAAGGAUUGGCUUCUUCCAUUGUCAAGCUCUGGGAGAAAUGUGAGAUUGCCAAAAUUGCUGUUAAGAGAGGGGUACAGAACACUAAUAGUGAAAUGAUGGCUGAAGAGCUGAAGCGGCUGACUGGAGGAAUAUUACUUUCCCGGGAUUCAGAAUUUUUUGCCCUAUAUCGAGGGAAAGAUUUUCUGCCACCUGCAGUUUCUUCUGCAAUAGAAGAGCGGAGGAAAUAUGGAAUUCAUGGAGAGAAAGAAAGGACAAGAUGUAGUACAUCAGUGACAACUGUACAGGAGCCUAAACUUGAUACUGCAGAGUGUAGUUCUGAAAGUGAACCUGAUGGGGGCAAUAAUGUGGAAAGGGGUCUCCUUUUCAAACAAAGAAAGCUAAGGUCCACUGAGGCAGCUGUCAAAAGAACUAGCAUCAAAUUGUCGAUGGCACUAGAAAAGAAAGCAAGGGCUGAGAAACUUCUAGCAGAGCUUGAGAAAGAAGAGAUCCCCCAACAACCUGAAAUAGAUAAAGAAGGUAUAACUAAAGAAGAAAGAUAUAUGCUAAGGAAGGUUGCCUUGAGAAUGAAGCCUUUCCUACUAAUGGGUAGGCGAGGGGUUUUUGAUGGAACAGUUGAAAACAUGCAUCUUCACUGGAAGUACAGGGAACUUGUGAAGAUAAUAUCUAAAACCAGAAGCAUUGAAGCUGUUCACGAAGAAGCACGGACAUUAGAGGCAGAAAGUGGUGGAAUAUUAGUGGCGGUUGAGAGAGUGAGCAAGGGUUAUGCAAUCGUUGUGUAUCGUGGGAAGAAUUAUACACGGCCUGCUAGCCUAAGGCCUCAGACACUCCUAAAUAAAAGAGAAGCAUUGAAACGCUCUUUAGAGGCACAACGCCGCAAGUCUCUGAAACUCCAUGUUUUGAGCCUUACCAAAAACAUAGAUGACUUGAAACUUCAGUUGGAUAAAGACAAGGAGGCAAACAAUGUUCUGCCAGCUGAUGCAUUGAAUUAUAAAUUGGUGAAAGAGGAUAUGAACAAUAUGCAGGCAACUGAAUGCUUGAGAUCACAUGUGGAACAUAAUUCCAGUCCUCUCUCUCACUCGGUAAUUCCUGCUUGCUAUGAAGAGAAUAAUGUAGAGGCUGAGGACAAACAUGGAGCUCAAUUAACUCUCAUGAACUUAAAUGAUGGCAUGGAUGCUUCAAUAGACAAUCCACAAGCCACUCAACAAGAUAAAGUGCUUGGCCUCUCAUCAACAUUUAAGGGGGAUGGGACUGGUAAAAUUGAAGCUGGAUUUUCAUCUGAAUUAGUUAGUAAAGAACCCCAUGCAAAAUUGUGCAAGGAUAUGAAUGGUGAAGUUGAAACUGCUUUCUCUACACCUUGCCCUGAUAAUUUUAUGUCAGAAGAAACAGGCUCUUCUGCAGUAGUUCAGCAUUGUGUUUAUGAUAACAAUGCAAUAGAACCAGCUAAGUCGGCAAAAAUUGAUUUGAAACCGGUUCCAAUAGCAGUGGAAAAUGGAUCAGAGAUGCCUCACAGAGCUGUACUUCUUUCCAAUAAAGAGAGGCUUCUUUUACGAAAGCAAGCCCUGAAGAUGAAAACUCGCCCCGUACUGGCAGUAGGGAGAAACAACAUUGUCUCUGGUGUUGCAAAAGCAAUCAUGGUUCAUUUCAAGAAGCAUCCUCUUGCUAUCGUGAAUGUCAAAGGUAGAGCAAAAGGAACGUCAGUCCAGGAGGUGGUUUUUAAGCUGGAGCAAGCAACAGGUGCAGUUCUUGUCUCUCAAGAGCCUAGCAAAGUCAUACUUUACAGGGGUUGGGGGGUGAGAGAUAUACCUGGGCAUGCUGAAAAGAAGAAUAUCAUUGAUGGUGGGAAAGAGGGUGGAACUCGGCCAAAUGUCUCUCCUGAACUCUUGGCAGCAAUCAGAAUGGAGUGUGGGUUGCAGGGUAACGUAAAGGAAGAGACAACUCUAUAACUUGGAAUUGAAGCUUGUAUCCAUGGUAGCGCUGCCAUCCGCUGUCCCAUGAUUCUUGUCCAUAUUAUUUAAUUUUGGGAUCAUACCAACUCAUCAUAUAUUCAAUUGUCAGCACAUUUUAACUAGGAGGGACAUACACAGAGAUACUUUCCAUAUCUCUGAACAGCAGUUACAAUCCUAAGGUAUGUUGGCCUGAUUUCCACUGUAUGCUUCUGUCUGCUUUCCUCUUUUGGUACAGUAAAUCUAGAAACAAGAUGGAGAGGUGACAUCUUCGAAAUCAAGGUCUUUAUUCGUUAUUUGCUGUAUUUGAGUGUGCCCUCCGUAUGUAUACUGGUCUUCUGCUGCAAGGAGGGAAAUACUCUAGUGACAUCUCAGUCGAUAUUGUAAUAUAAGAAAUUCUUCAGCAAUAGCCAAUGACCUCUGGCUUUAAUGGCUCUUUUCUUGCAAAAGCAACAUCAUGAUGGAUUCAAGGCCCAUAGGAUCCGUAUGUAUUUACUAGUUUUAAAUAACAAUAAUAAAUUCUUGGGGCAUACCUAGAAUUGGUUCCA